UACGGAAUGUGCAAACGUUAUUCGGAAUCACUGGGCUUAAAGAGUCCGUAGGCGGCAUGUUAGGUGAGGUGUGAAAUCCCACGGCUCAACCGUGGAAUUGCGCUUCAAACCGGCGUGCUUGAGGAAGAUAGAGGUGGGCGGAACUGAUGGUGGAGCGGUGAAAUGCGUUGAUAUCAUCAGGAACACCGGAGGCGAAGGCGGCCCACUGGGUCUUUUCUGACGCUGAGGGACGAAAGCUAGGGGAGCGAACGGG
This 253-nucleotide ribosomal RNA is filed under the name uncultured bacterium. Its description in RNAcentral is "partial 16S ribosomal RNA". It matches the Rfam family "Bacterial small subunit ribosomal RNA", at positions 524 to 776 of the family's 1533-position model. The record is from RNAcentral.